Spinacia oleracea (spinach) is the source of this 1775-nucleotide long non-coding RNA. RefSeq lists it as uncharacterized. The record is from RefSeq and is a predicted model, not a curated record. NCBI's taxonomy places the organism in Eukaryota, Viridiplantae, Streptophyta, Magnoliopsida, Caryophyllales, Amaranthaceae. The transcript is spliced from 3 exons.
CCUCCCUCUUCCUUCUCUCUCCUUUCUAAUUCUUUGAUCUCUCAUUCCUCUCUUCUUCAUCAUCGUCACCAUAGAUCAUUAUCAUCUUCAUCUUCACCGUUGAUCAUCAUCAUCGUCAUCAUUGAUCUCCUUCAUCACCGAUCUCCUUCAUCAUCGAUCUCCUCAUCAUCGACGAAAAUUGGUGGUUUUUUUUUUAUUUGGUUUUUUUAAUCUUUUCUCCUCAAAUUUUCGUCAUAAAAUUUGUAUUUUUUUGGAUUUAAUUUGAUUUGGAUCUGAUUCGGGGAUUUGAUUUUAAAUUUGAUUUUAGUUUUUAAAUUUGAUUUUGGUUUUUUUAUUUUGAUUUUGAUUUUUUAUUUUGAUUUUCGUUUUUUAUUUUGAUUUUCGUUUUUAAAUCUGAUUUUCGUUUUCUUAUGUAAUUUUUGUUUUUUUAUUUUCGAUUUUUUAAUUUGGGGAUUUAUUUUUGAUUUGGGGAUCUUUUUUAAAUUGAUUUUCGUUUUUUAAUUUGAUUUUAGUUUUUAAAUUUGAUUUUCGUUUUUAAAUUUGAUUUUUGUUUUAAUUUUGAUUUUUGUUUUUUAAUUUGAUUUUCGUAUGUUAUAUUUAUUUUGAUUUUUAUUUUUAAUCUGAUUUCGUUUUUCUUAUGUAAUUUUCAUGUUUUAGAUUUGAAUUAUUUCAACCAAUAUUUUGGGAACUAAAUCUUCAUGGUUCUGUCUAUGUGUGUGUUAUUUUUCAAUUCUUGUUGAUGGGAUUUUGUUUCUUCUUUUAUAAUCAGAGUUGAGAAGAACAAUCGUGGAUUUGGUAUCACUACUACAGAAAUAUGCUUUUAUAGCGUUUUUUUAAUAGCGCUUUUACCCAUUUUGCUGUUAAAGAUAUGAUAAUGUAUUUAAUAGUGCUUUUAAGAUAAACUCUAUCAUAUGUACAUUCUAUUAUAGUGUUUUCAAAUAAAACGCUAUUAAACGUUUAAGAAAAAAAAAUAAAAAAAUAAAAGAACCGCCUAUGAGAAAAUUAAAGGACGGCUUAUUCAUGUCUCUCACGGAGAUUGCUCUACGCCUCCUAACCUCACCUCCUCGAAUCUCCAUCUCUCUCCUCCUUAAACCAGCCCCUCUCUCCUCCUCUACCGUCAUUGAUCUUGUAGGGUCUAUGGAAACGGUGUCGCGACGGUGGCGUUGUGAGGGAUAGAUGUCGGUGCUUGUGGCUAUGUAAUUCCAAGAUUAGGGUUUCUAUUUUGGUUUAUUCGGGUAUGAGCUUCUUCAAUUUUCUCUCAUCAUGUUUUUAAUUUGGGUUCUUUUGCAUAGUUCACUAGUUUAAAUGUUAGGUAUCAUCAGACAAGCAAAUGGUUGCCAAAUUAAUGAAUGCGAUUCGGUAUUCUCGCUAUGGCGGUGGAACUACUGCUUUAAAGCAUGCAUGUUAAGAUUGAUGUUCCUGAUCUAAAGGCCGAUGAGGUUUUGCUAAAGGUUGAGGUUGUAUCUUUAAACGCAUUUGAUUGGAAGAUACAAAAGGGCAUACCUCGUCCCAUAUUACCCAGAAAGUUCCCUUAUGUACCAGUACUUUUCAGAUUGUCAGUUUCCAAGUUAUGACAAGGAGCAGAUUGGAGAAGUAAGAACUGAGUGGGUGCGCCAUGUUGUUCAACAAUUGUAUAAUCGCUAGGUUACGUUGAUUGAACCAAAAAACAUACAACUUUAUUAAUUAAUGUACUUUGCGUAGUUUAAUGUUUAGAAUUUUAUUUGUGAUCUAUGUAAUCGGUUUUAUUAGGGUGACUAUUGCAAAAAUUCUUUCCA